This 406-nucleotide ribosomal RNA is filed under the name uncultured bacterium. Its description in RNAcentral is "bacterial SSU rRNA". It matches the Rfam family "Bacterial small subunit ribosomal RNA", at positions 29 to 429 of the family's 1533-position model. The record is from RNAcentral.
AACGAACGCUGGCGGCGCGCUUAACACAUGCAAGUCGAACGAGAAGGCGUAGCAAUACGCUUGUAAAGUGGCGAACGGGUGAGGAAUACAUGGGUAACCUACCCUCGAGUGGGGGAUAACCCGCCGAAAGGCGGGCUAAUACCGCGUACGCUUCCGAUCUCGCGGGAUCGGAAGGAAAGCUGUCCCAAGGGGAUGGCGCUCAAGGAUGGGCUCAUGUCCUAUCAGCUUGUUGGUAGGGUAACGGCCACCAAGGCAUCGACGGGUAGCUGGUCUGAGAGGACGAUCAGCCACACUGGGACUGAGACACGGCCCAGACUCCUACGGGAGGCAGCAGUGGGGAAUCUUGCGCAAUGGGCGAAAGCCUGACGCAGCGACGCCGCGUGAGGGAAGAAGGCCUCGGUGUAAC